This 468-nucleotide ribosomal RNA is filed under the name uncultured bacterium. RNAcentral describes it as "partial 16S ribosomal RNA". It matches the Rfam family "Bacterial small subunit ribosomal RNA", at positions 28 to 507 of the family's 1533-position model. The record is from RNAcentral.
GACGAACGCUGGCGGCGUGCUUAACACAUGCAAGUCGAACGGAAAGGCCCUGCUUUUGUGGGGUGCUCGAGUGGCGAACGGGUGAGUAACACGUGAGUAACCUGCCCUUGACUUUGGGAUAACUUCAGGAAACUGGGGCUAAUACCGGAUAGGAGCUCCUGCUGCAUGGUGGGGGUUGGAAAGUUUCGGCGGUUGGGGAUGGACUCGCGGCUUAUCAGCUUGUUGGUGGGGUAGUGGCUUACCAAGGCUUUGACGGGUAGCCGGCCUGAGAGGGUGACCGGCCACAUUGGGACUGAGAUACGGCCCAGACUCCUACGGGAGGCAGCAGUGGAGAAUAUUGCACAAUGGGCGGAAGCCAGAUGCAGCAACGCCGCGUGCGGGAUGACGGCCUUCGGGUUGUAAACCGCUUUCGCCUGUGACGAAGCGUGAGUGACGGUAAUGGGUAAAGAAGCACCGGCUAACUACGUG